UUUGAUAUUUUUAAUUAAUUUUUUAAAAAAUUGAAGACAUUUCUUUACUUGACAAUAAUUUUUCCUAAUCUAGUUAAGUUACCUUUUAAAAAAUUUACUUUUUAAAAAUUAAAUCAUUUGAAUCAAUCAAGAUCUAAAAAUCUAUUCUAUUAAUGAAGUACAUUACCGUCGACUUGUACUUGGAUUGAUUGAGCGAAGGCUGCCUUGUCCCGUAUGAUAUGGUAAAAUUUUAAAUUAGUAAAUUAUCCCGUAACUUAGGCAAAAAGCAAGCAAUAACUUGCCUAAGGUAAUGAUGACCUUUUUAAUUUAACAAAGGAAUGAAAUUCUUCUAGAAAUUCUUCCAGAAAUUCUUCCUUUCUUCUAGAAAUUCUUCCUUUCUUGUAAAAGAGAGUGGUAUAUUGAGAGAGAGAGAGAGAGCGGGGAAUUAGGAGUGGUCCAGAGAUUUGACGCGAUUAUU
This 457-nucleotide long non-coding RNA is filed under the name Manihot esculenta (cassava). RNAcentral's name for it is "long non-coding RNA (MESC_LNC007294)". Lineage: Eukaryota; Viridiplantae; Streptophyta; Magnoliopsida; Malpighiales; Euphorbiaceae. The record is from RNAcentral.